RNAcentral lists this unclassified non-coding RNA (279 nucleotides) under plant metagenome. RNAcentral describes it as "partial contains small subunit ribosomal RNA, internal transcribed spacer 1, and 5.8S ribosomal RNA". The record is from RNAcentral.
UUUCCGUAGGUGAACCUGCGGAAGGAUCAUUAUUGAAAAGGAAAACUUCAAUGAUUCUCGUUGACCCGGAAGACAUAGGACGCCCGAAAACACAAACGAAAAUGCAUCUCACCGCUAUGUGCACCACAGCGUGGGUCCCCCUUUGGCUUGUUCGGAGGGGGGCUUACGUUUUCACACAAACUUUGUAUGCAGUGUAGAAUGUAUUUUUUGUUUUUGCGAUCACGCAAUCAAUUCAUCUUUCAACAACGUAUCUUUUGGCUCUCGCAUCGAUGAAGAACC